This 599-nucleotide long non-coding RNA is filed under the name Athene cunicularia (burrowing owl). Its description in RNAcentral is "lncRNA (ENSACUG00000015064.1)". The record is from RNAcentral. Lineage: Eukaryota; Metazoa; Chordata; Aves; Strigiformes; Strigidae.
UGCCUGCCUUUAGGGGCUGAUGGCCACAGCACAAAGCCCCAGAUGCUGAAGGGCCUGUGUCUUUUAUCUGUGUCACUGUAGGCAGAGUCUCCAGGUCUGGGCUUGCUGCAUGAGAGGAAGCUGGGGGCUCCCGCAGCCCAGCUCCACGAGGAUGUGACGGACAGUCAGGCAGCACUGUUCCGUGCCCGGGCCCGUGUAGCAGAGUUGGAGAGCCAGGUGCAGACAUUGGAGCUGGCACGGGCUCAGGACAAACCCUUGUUGGAGAUCCUCCGGCAGCGGCACCAGGAGGACCUGGAUCUCCUCGACAGCACCCACAGGAGCCAGGUGAAGAUGUUAGAGGAGACCUGCAGGCAGUGAGAGCAGAGGCUGCGGCAGGAGAAGGAGCAGUUGGUGGCUCAGCUCCUGGGGCAGAGGCAGGAGGCGGAGCAGGAGUGGGCGGAGCUGCUGGCGCAGCACUUGGCCGAGCUGGAGCGGCUGCGAGAGCUGCAGAGGUGAGAGUGGCACGAGCAGUGCAGGUGUGGGGCCGGUGCUGCUGGUUGUGGCAGAGGAAUUGGGGACUGGUUUGGGGCCAUGGUGACAGGAGCCUCCAGAAGCACUGG